RNAcentral lists this ribosomal RNA (1199 nucleotides) under Lactiplantibacillus plantarum. Its description in RNAcentral is "bacterial SSU rRNA". It matches the Rfam family "Bacterial small subunit ribosomal RNA", at positions 1 to 1199 of the family's 1533-position model. The record is from RNAcentral. Lineage: Bacteria; Bacillati; Bacillota; Bacilli; Lactobacillales; Lactobacillaceae.
CGCCCAUGAGGGCGUCUAUACUGCAGUCGACGAACUCUGGUAUUGAUUGGUGCUUGCAUCAUGAUUUACAUUUGAGUGAGUGGCGAACUGGUGAGUAACACGUGGGAAACCUGCCCAGAAGCGGGGGAUAACACCUGGAAACAGAUGCUAAUACCGCAUAACAACUUGGACCGCAUGGUCCGAGCUUGAAAGAUGGCUUCGGCUAUCACUUUUGGAUGGUCCCGCGGCGUAUUAGCUAGAUGGUGGGGUAACGGCUCACCAUGGCAAUGAUACGUAGCCGACCUGAGAGGGUAAUCGGCCACAUUGGGACUGAGACACGGCCCAAACUCCUACGGGAGGCAGCAGUAGGGAAUCUUCCACAAUGGACGAAAGUCUGAUGGAGCAACGCCGCGUGAGUGAAGAAGGGUUUCGGCUCGUAAAACUCUGUUGUUAAAGAAGAACAUAUCUGAGAGUAACUGUUCAGGUAUUGACGGUAUUUAACCAGAAAGCCACGGCUAACUACGUGCCAGCAGCCGCGGUAAUACGUAGGUGGCAAGCGUUGUCCGGAUUUAUUGGGCGUAAAGCGAGCGCAGGCGGUUUUUUAAGUCUGAUGUGAAAGCCUUCGGCUCAACCGAAGAAGUGCAUCGGAAACUGGGAAACUUGAGUGCAGAAGAGGACAGUGGAACUCCAUGUGUAGCGGUGAAAUGCGUAGAUAUAUGGAAGAACACCAGUGGCGAAGGCGGCUGUCUGGUCUGUAACUGACGCUGAGGCUCGAAAGUAUGGGUAGCAAACAGGAUUAGAUACCCUGGUAGUCCAUACCGUAAACGAUGAAUGCUAAGUGUUGGAGGGUUUCCGCCCUUCAGUGCUGCAGCUAACGCAUUAAGCAUUCCGCCUGGGGAGUACGGCCGCAAGGCUGAAACUCAAAGGAAUUGACGGGGGCCCGCACAAGCGGUGGAGCAUGUGGUUUAAUUCGAAGCUACGCGAAGAACCUUACCAGGUCUUGACAUACUAUGCAAAUCUAAGAGAUUAGACGUUUCCCUUCGGGGACAUGGGAUACAGGGUGGUGCAUGGAUUGUCGUCAGCUCGUGUCGUGAGAUGUUGGUUAAGUCCCGCAACGAGCGCACCCUUAUUAUCAGUUGCCAGCAUCAGGUGACACCUCUGGUGAGACUGCCGAUGACAAUCUGAAGGAAAGGUGGGGAUGAACGGUUCAAAGUCCAGUC